RNAcentral lists this ribosomal RNA (74 nucleotides) under Ensifer sp. ENS07. Its description in RNAcentral is "partial 16S ribosomal RNA". It matches the Rfam family "Bacterial small subunit ribosomal RNA", at positions 1 to 73 of the family's 1533-position model. The record is from RNAcentral. Lineage: Bacteria; Pseudomonadati; Pseudomonadota; Alphaproteobacteria; Hyphomicrobiales; Rhizobiaceae.
UCAACUUGAGAGUUUGAUCCUGGCUCAGAACGAACGCUGGCGGCAGGCUUAACACAUGCAAGUCGAGCGCCCCG